AGGACGAACGCUGGCGGCGCGCCUAACACAUGCAAGUCGAGCGAGAACCGGGGCUUCGGUCCCGGGGACAGCGGCGAACGGGUGCGUAACACGUGAGCAACCUGCCCCGAAGACCGGGACAACCCGAGGAAACUCGGACUAAUACCGGAUGUCCUCACCGGAUCGCAUGGUCUGGUGAGGAAAUGGAUUCCGCUUUGGGAUGGGCUCGCGGUCUAUCAGCUUGUUGGUGGGGUAACGGCCUACCAAGGCGACGACGGAUAGCUGGUCUGAGAGGACGAUCAGCCACACUGGGACUGAGACACGGCCCAGACUCCUACGGGAGGCAGCAGUGGGGAAUCUUGCGCAAUGGGGGAAACCCUGACGCAGCGACGCCGCGUGCGGGAUGAAGGCCUUCGGGUUGUAACCGCUUUCAGCAGGGACGAAAUUGACGGUACCUGCAGAAGAAGGCCCGGCCAACUACGUGCCAGCAGCCGC
RNAcentral lists this ribosomal RNA (474 nucleotides) under uncultured bacterium. RNAcentral describes it as "SSU rRNA". It matches the Rfam family "Bacterial small subunit ribosomal RNA", at positions 26 to 518 of the family's 1533-position model. The record is from RNAcentral.